RNAcentral lists this ribosomal RNA (292 nucleotides) under uncultured bacterium. RNAcentral's name for it is "partial 16S ribosomal RNA". It matches the Rfam family "Bacterial small subunit ribosomal RNA", at positions 505 to 796 of the family's 1533-position model. The record is from RNAcentral.
GUGCCAGCAGCCGCGGUAAUACGGAGGGUGCUAGCGUUGUUCGGAAUCACUGGGCGUAAAGCGCGUGUAGGCGGUCUGCUAAGUCUGAUGUGAAAGCCCGGGGCUCACCCCCGGAAGUGCAUUGUAAACUGACAGACUGGAGUCCCGGAGAGGAGUGUGGAAUUCCUGGUGUAGCGGUGAAAUGCGUAGAUAUCAGGAGGAACACCGGUGGCGAAGGCGGGUCUCUGGACAGUUCCUGACGCUGAGGCGCGAAGGCCAGGGGAGCAAACGGGAUUAGAUACCCUUGUAGUCC